AUGACUAAAACAGGAUUUGAUAUUGAUCCUCGGCCGCCCCCCAGGAACAUUCUCAUCAUUUGAUAUUAUUCGUCACACGUCCUGUGUUAAUGAGCUCGGCGGUGUGCCACUGGGCCCGAUGAACCUCGACCUUAGUCAGGUGGAAAAGGCAAACUACAAUAACAUGGAAAAGGAAUUCUUGGAAAAGACUGGACCUCCGACCGGCUGUUUGUACCCGACUCGGCACGUUCUGACGUUCUUCAGUGGGCCCACAAUUCAAAACUCACCUGUUAUCCCGGAAUCACCCACACUAUCCAAUUCGGACAACAACACUUCUGGUGGUCCAGCCUGGUGAAAGACACCCGGGUGAUCAUCCAAGCCUGUUCUGUGCCCGAGGGAAGACUUCACAUCUGUCCCCACUGGUCUGCUGCGCCCCUUACCUAUUCCUAGCCGCCCUUGGUCCCACAUCGCCUUGGACUUCAUUACCAGCCUACCUACCUCUGAAGGUCACCUUGUGUUUUCUCCGCUGUGACUUUGGAGAAGAGAGACACCUGAGACACUGCCACAAACGGGAGCCCCAACAGCUGCAGGAACACUCCAAUAAUGAAAGCCGACAGCUUCCACUCGUAGCUGCCUAGAAGGCAAGGGA
Molecule: long non-coding RNA, 628 nt
Organism: Phyllopteryx taeniolatus (common seadragon)
Lineage: Eukaryota; Metazoa; Chordata; Actinopteri; Syngnathiformes; Syngnathidae
Exons: 3
Source: RefSeq, a predicted model, not a curated record